UGGGGAAUAUUUCACAAUGGGGGAAACCCUGAUGCAGCGACGCCGCGUGUAGGAAGAAGUAUUUCGGUAUGUAAACUUCUAUCAGCAGGGAAGAAAAUGACGGUACCUGACUAAGAAGCCCCGGCUAACUACGUGCCAGCAGCCGCGGUAAUACGUAGGGGGCAAGCGUUAUCCGGAUUUACUGGGUGUAAAGGGAGCGUAGACGGCAUGGCAAGUCUGGUGUGAAAGGCAGGGGCUCAACCCCUGGACUGCAUUGGAAACUGUCAGGCUGGAGUGCAGGAGAGGUAAGUGGAAUUCCUAGGGUAGCGGUGAAAUGCGUAGAUAUUAGGAGGAACACCAGUGGCGAAGGCGACUUACUGGACUGUAACUGACGUUGAGGCUCGAAAGCGUGGGGAGCAAACAGG
Molecule: ribosomal RNA, 404 nt
Filed under: Acidobacteriota bacterium
Lineage: Bacteria; Pseudomonadati; Acidobacteriota
Description: Acidobacteria bacterium partial 16S ribosomal RNA
Rfam family: Bacterial small subunit ribosomal RNA
Source: RNAcentral